UUCGUAGGCGGUGUGGCAAGUCGGGAGUGAAAUCUCUAGGCACAACCUAGAGACUGCUUCCGAAACUGCUGUGCUUGAGUGUGAGAGAGGCUCGUGGAAUUGCAGGUGUAGCGGUGAAAUGCGUAGAUAUCUGCAGGAACACCCGUGGCGAAAGCGGCGAGCUGGAUCACUACUGACGCUGAGGAACGAAAGCGUAGGGGAGCAAACA
Molecule: ribosomal RNA, 208 nt
Filed under: uncultured bacterium
Lineage: Bacteria
Description: partial 16S ribosomal RNA
Rfam family: Bacterial small subunit ribosomal RNA
Source: RNAcentral